Callorhinus ursinus (northern fur seal) is the source of this 1931-nucleotide non-coding RNA. The record is from RefSeq and is a predicted model, not a curated record. NCBI's taxonomy places the organism in Eukaryota, Metazoa, Chordata, Mammalia, Carnivora, Otariidae.
UGACUGAGCCACCCAGGCGCCCUGUGACUUUCUUUUUAAAUCCUCACAACAAGUCAAUGAAGGACAUAUGAUGUCUCUAUUUUUCAGACAAGGAGCAUGACCAGUAACAGAGACCCAUUAUUGGCCUGUUGUCUGGCUGCCAUGCCACCUGCCCAAGCUUAUUCAGAUAGUAAGUGGGAGAGAGGAGUGGAUGUAAGAAGGCCCAUGUUGAAGGUACUAGACUUGUAUCCUGAUUGUUUUGUUGUUCAGAUAUGUAGUGAAGUAAGGAAAUGUCCUAUUCUGUUACAUGCUUUAGACACACAUUAAUAAAUAGUUGUGUGGUGCCACACUGCAGAACUCUAGGGACACCAUUUUGUACUCUGUGCAAGUGGCAUCCCCGGCGUUGGUCCACAGGGAGGCCCCGGCUGCUUUGGUGGGCGUAUCAUUAGCGUUCUCAACUGUAAGCAACAGGAUAGAAAGCAAGAAAGGAAUUUACUGGAAGGAAAUAGAGCAGUGCACCAGGUCAGUGGGAAGGCUGGAGGAACAGACGUGGAACUACAGGAAGCAGGGCAGCGGGCAGCAGCCAGGGCCCGUUCCAGCAAGGUCUGGCCUGCCGUCAUUCUCCCCGAGCGCUCCCAUGGUGCUGCCGCUGUCUGAAAACGUCCCAGCUGCCCUGACGCUCAGAACACCAGGAUGUGUGCGCGACCUUCUGGCUUCACCACAUGCCCACACCACCUGGGCCAGGAUGCGGGAGAGCGACCCCUUCAGCUUCAGUUGAGCGGCUCCCAGUCGACUUGCACUGUGAAAAAUUCUUCAAAAAUAGGAAGCAUUCUUGAGAAACAGACAAUGAGGAUGAAAAACUCUCUACUACAACCUGUGGCUUCAGCUGUCCAGUACCACAGCCCCUUCUUCCUGGCACUUUAUACCCAACAUAGCACCUGUGCCCCAUAUAGACAAACCCAGAUAUAGCCAUUUCCUCAAAAGGAAAAAAUCUAUAGCCUACCCUCACCCCCUUUAAAAAUCUAAGAUAAGGUUUAUUUUGGGAUAAUUUUAGGUUUACAGAAAAGUGGCAAAGGCAGUGCCGUGGAUUCCAUAUACCUUUUGCCCAGCCUCCCCUGGUGUGAAUAUCUUACAUAACGUAAGAUAUUUGGAAACCCAAGGUCUUUGUUACCUUGAAGUCAGAACUCUCUGUUAAUCCUAUUAUAGCCCUAUCUGGUACUCAGUGGUCCUAGUGCAUCCUGCAUACAGCCAUGGGGGAAAGGGAGAGGAGACAAGAAAUUAGCUAAAAUAAACACACGUGACACGGCAAGAAAGGAAACAGCUGUUUCAGAAGAUGAAGGGAAAGUUCAGGCUGGCAAAAAAAAAGUAGGAAGCUGGAUGAAGCUGAGUGUGUGCAGACACAUGGACACAGGACCCAGUGAUGGAGACGGCCUCAGUCCUGUCCGCACUUGCAUGUCUGGCCAAUCCAAGGCUCUGCUGAUACCUGACUCUUGAUAUCAACCUAGAGGCAAUGAGGAGUAGGGGGUAGGUCCUGAGGAGGCCAAACAUCAUCAUUCAAGGCAUCCACCUCAGUAUUACUCAUCCUGCAUCUGGGCCUGAUUUUCACAUAAGACCUGCUGAGGCUGUACGUGCAGACUCCUUUGCAUUCUGCCCUGUGCCGACAGAAGAUAAGAUUCUCUGGCUUUCAUAUGUUUUCUGAAGUUGGAGGAUGACUAUCAUUUAAUUUUUGUAAACCAACAUGCUAUUGAAUUUCAUCCAAGUGCUAGAGGGGAAACUAGUUCAGGUGGGUCACUGACCAAGAGAAAUAAACAAGAGUACUUGAGACUCUUAAGAAGGUACACAGUUUCCUUCCCAGUAUGGACAUCACAUCUGCAACUACAGAAGGUAUUUCCUUUGCAAGUACACACAGAACAUUUUAAAAGAAAAAAAAUAUAUGCUGGGAAGUAAAUCAU